GCUGACGAGUGGCGGACGGGUGAGUAAUGUCUGGGAAACUGCCUGAUGGAGGGGGAUAACUACUGGAAACGGUAGCUAAUACCGCAUAACGUCGCAAGACCAAAGAGGGGGACCUUAGGGCCUCUUGCCAUCGGAUGUGCCCAGAUGGGAUUAGCUAGUAGGUGGGGUAACGGCUCACCUAGGCGACGAUCCCUAGCUGGUCUGAGAGGAUGACCAGCCACACUGGAACUGAGACACGGUCCAGACUCCUACGGGAGGCAGCAGUGGGGAAUAUUGCACAAUGGGCGCAAGCCUGAUGCAGCCAUGCCGCGUGUAUG
This 317-nucleotide ribosomal RNA is filed under the name uncultured bacterium. RNAcentral describes it as "bacterial SSU rRNA". It matches the Rfam family "Bacterial small subunit ribosomal RNA", at positions 87 to 407 of the family's 1533-position model. The record is from RNAcentral.